Molecule: transfer RNA, 72 nt
Filed under: Magnetococcales bacterium
Lineage: Bacteria; Pseudomonadati; Pseudomonadota; Magnetococcia; Magnetococcales
Description: tRNA-Ser
Rfam family: tRNA
About the family: Transfer RNA (tRNA) molecules are approximately 80 nucleotides in length. Their secondary structure includes four short double-helical elements and three loops (D, anti-codon, and T loops).
Source: RNAcentral
GUCUGCUCAAUUGCGGAGAGCAACAGGUUGCUAAUCUGUAGGCCUGUGGUUCGAAUUCACUCGUGGACACCA